Molecule: long non-coding RNA, 2106 nt
Filed under: Homo sapiens (human)
Lineage: Eukaryota; Metazoa; Chordata; Mammalia; Primates; Hominidae
Description: HSALNT0284824
Source: RNAcentral
GGACUCUAUAUCUCUAGCAGCAUUUACUUGCAAUUCCAAAAGAAACACCAUGGAGAAGGGUUUGUACCAUGAAUUUAACCUUAUCUCAUUUAUUAAUGCAUUUUUAAAGUGUCCUAGUUUGUCACAUGUCAGAAUCACCAUAAGACUUCAUCAAAACUGUGAAUUUAUAAUCCCCAUGUCAGAUCCACUAGGUGGAGCUCUAUAAUUUCCAUCUUAAACAGGCUGCCUGGGUGAUUCUGAUUCAUAAUAAAGGCUAAUCACCACUGAUUUAUAUAUUCAUUAUGAUCUCCAUUGUAUUAACUGUAAACCAUAAGGUAAGCAGAAAAAAGAAUUACACUGUCUCUUUUUCGGUGGGGAAGGUGAAGUCUUUUCUAAGUUCUAAAACAAAGGUUAAAAGUAAAAAUCCAUAAAGUCAAGGUUUAAUAUAUUUAUUGCUUAGAACCCGAAAGUAUCUUUAGAGCAAACCACACUUAUAAACAAAGGCAAAGUCAAAGCAUAUCAUAGUAUAGUGUAUUUCCUCCUCCAGAUGCCAUGAUAACUGUGGCAGCUGAACAGUUCCACCGCUAAAGAAGACUCUUGGGACCCCAAAUGGUCAUGAUUGCAAAUCUACAGUUUGUUGGAGAAAAAAAUGGAUGCAACAUAGCAACAGCAUUAAGGAGAAACAUCAUAGUCAAAAGCUGUCUAAUAGUAAGGGAUCUGGAGUGGCCAGUUCCCCAGGUGAUGACUAUGCAGCUUUUUCAUGGACCACAACAUGUUCAUUACAAAGGAUUUAAAACUCAAAUGUAUUGAUGGGUCUGCCGAACUGCUAAAGUGUUACCUGACAAGUUUCCUGAGAGUGAACUCAACAGAGAAAAGAGCAUCUGCAGACAAGAUAUUAACCCAUGAGAACAGCACAACCACUAUCAUGCAGGUAUUUUUUCCUGGCCUAGCCUGCAAUAUCUCAGUUUUGUGAGGACAAUAUUUAUGUAUGCAAAACAAAGAAAUAAGGAAUACACAUAAAUGAUUAUUUUGGCAAAAAGAAUUUGGAAGAUAUUAAUGAGAGGCCCAAGCAGCACCAAGGUGAUAUCCAUGUGUACCUGGUUACUGUAACUAUAAAGUGGAGAGAGGGCUUUAUCCACUUCUACGGGGGUCAUGGGUUGGUGGACAUUGCUCACCAGUGACUCCAGAGAAAAUGACAGGGCUUUGACACCAUAAAUCCUCUAUCAGUAAAGGGUGCAGGACCCGGGAAAAAGGGCAUAGUGCCCAGCAGACAUGGAAGUAUCCAGGAGAGAGUGGCAUCUACUUCUUAGCUGCCUGGAAAUAUUCCUAGACAUGGUGAGAACUCCCUCAGUCCUCCUCCAAUGUGUCUGAUUCCAUCGACUUUCCUGCCACUGUAUGGGAAUAGUUUAGGAGCCAUUCCUCCCCUGAGUGCCUAGUGGGGACCAGGUCACAACACAGCUCACAUACUUAGUAUCUCAUCUGAUCCACCAGGCAGUCCUGUGAGGCAAGUAUUACCCUUAUUUUACAAAUGACAAGAUUGACUCUUACAGCAAUAGAUCUGUUAGAAUUUCCAGGUUGAUUCCUUUAGCUUUUAGUCCCAGAGAUAAUAUGAAUUUUACCUGUCAUCUUAUGUUCUGAUAACAGGAAUUCUGAGUGUCUUUAUUGCCUUUGUAAGCGCACCAAACAGUUCAAUUUCUUAGUAUGUAUUGUAUUCAGCUUUUAUUUAUUUUUCAGUAUGACAAAUAUUUAGUAUUAUAUUUUAGUAUGGGUCUGAGUAUGCAGACCCAGCACUCAUGUUAGAAGACCCAGGAACAUGAUAGAGGACCUAGCAACAGUGCCCACUGACCUGGCUCGACCUAGGGAAGACAUAGGGAUGUGCACAGCAGCAGAGGAAUAUCAUGGAGGUACAUACAAGAGGUGGUAGGACUCAUUUUUGAAUACAGGUGAGACCUAUUCUUGGCUACCCUUCAGGAAUAACCAUUGCCUGCUUUUUAGUGUACAUGCUUUCAGGGUUUUCUUUGCGCAGAAAUGCAUUAUACAAACAUUUACAUUUUUAUAAAUAUUGGCUGAUAACCGUAUACGAGGUUCUGCAAACUGUUCUUUAUUUAUUUAUUUUUUACAAUGUGU